AACGAACGCUGGCGGCAGGCUUAACACAUGCAAGUCGAACGCGUGUAGCAAUACACGAGUGGCGCACGGGUGAGUAACGCGUGGAUAUCUGCCUUUUGGUUCGGAAUAACCCCGGGAAACUGGGGCUAAUACCGGAUGGUUCCUUCGGGAUAAAGAUUUAUCGCCAAAAGAUGAGUCCGCGUACGAUUAGCUAGUUGGUGAGGUAAUGGCUCACCAAGGCGGCGAUCGUUAGCCGGUCNGAGAGGACGAUCAGCCACACUGGGACUGAGACACGGCCCAGACUCCUACGGGAGGGCAGCAGUGGGGAAUAUUGGACAAUGGGGGCAACCCUGAUCCAGCCAUGCCGCGUGAGUGAUGAAGGCCUUC
This 366-nucleotide ribosomal RNA is filed under the name uncultured bacterium. RNAcentral describes it as "bacterial SSU rRNA". It matches the Rfam family "Bacterial small subunit ribosomal RNA", at positions 29 to 419 of the family's 1533-position model. The record is from RNAcentral.